This is a non-coding RNA of Sus scrofa (pig), 3379 nucleotides long. The record is from RefSeq and is a predicted model, not a curated record. Lineage: Eukaryota; Metazoa; Chordata; Mammalia; Artiodactyla; Suidae.
UCCACAUCACUAGGCACCUGUAAGCUGCAGUGAGUCACAAUAUGCGGAUGGUGGAGGAGGGGGCAGGCCUCCUGUUCGUCUCCUGAAGCCAUGUGAGUGCCACCCGUGACCGCGAAGGUUCACAGCCGUACUGGCCAGGGCUCACUGAGGAAGCAGCGCCAAGGGCACAGGACUGACCACCGAAAGGAGCCCCGCCAACCCGUCCUCAAGGGCACUUGGACUUGAUGCUGGCCUUGAGCCCCAGUGUGCACCCCCCCACUCCCCCGCCAGCCUGCAUCCACGGAGUCUGAGCAGGGCCCACAGCUGUUGUGCCUCAGCAUGGAGCCAAGAGCUGAAAACAAAACAAAACCUCUGGAGGAAGAAGACAUGUUCUCUGGAUGCGGAAUGGGAGACCUUGGGGAGGUAUGCGUGUGCGGGGGAGGCCUCUGACUUGGGCCCAGGCAAAGGUCACGGUCAAUGGGAAAGCCCUGGAUGGGAGAGAGUCUAAGAUGGAGCCCAAGAAUGCCAUCAAGCAGCUGCCCGGGAUGGACGGGGACCCUCCGCCAGAUGGGGCCAGUUCUCCUGAUGUAAGGCUAACAGGCUGACGUCCUGGGAUGCCGAGCUCCCAGGGAGCGGACCGUGAUGCCCGAGGGAGCUCCAGUCGCCGGUGUCCUGUGUGGUCUCGCUGAGGGAAGCCAGGCAAAAAUCUGGCAACUGAGCUGUAACGGCCAGGCUCUUGGCUCCGAGCAACAGGAAGCAAUUCUGGUUUAUUUCAGCAGAAAAGGACUUUAUCAAAAGGGUCUCGGGGAGGUCACAAAAUAACCAGGAGGGCUGGAGGACUGGGUUUGGAAAGCGAGCCAAGCAAAGGAGGCUGCGCCGCUGUCAGGACCACGGCCAAAGUCAGGCCACUCCAGUGAGAGCCCCACCGCCAAGUCCAGGACCCCUCGGCUUACGCUGCCACCUCUGGACAUGGAUGUGGUCCCUGCCAGCCCAGGAAUGGAAUGUCAUUGCCGUGGUGACUGCCGCCCUCCACCAGAACGGACCUCUGUGCGCCCUGCAUCUCUGCAUCACCAGCUCCUGACUCUGAGUCUUUGACGGGGCAUCUGAUUGGCUGAGUGUGAGUCAGGAGCCCACGCGAACUGCAGUGGCAGCCGGGAAAGUGACAAGGUGGCAUUUUUCGAAUCUCUGGUGGGAGGCAACUAGGAUGAUGGGGGAUUUUUCAAAUAUGGUAAUGGGGUUGGAUGUGGGUCCACCUUAUACUUACCUCGCAUGGAAAAAUGUGGAACAGCUGUCCCUAGAGUGUGCCGGCAAACUGUAGUCCUCCAGGGACAGCCUGAGCCUGUCUUCCUGUCCCCCAGGUGCUGAUGGAAGUGUGUGUGCGUGUGCGUGUGCGCGCGCGUGCUCGGGUGUAAAGAUAGGAACAUGUUCCAUUCCAUGACGUGGGGUCAGGAACCCUGGGUUCGAUUCUGAGUCCCCUCUGCCUGUCAACCUUAGACAAGCUGUUCUAAGCCCUGGGUCUCAGUUCCAUGUCACAGCCUGCGGCUCAGCCUUUGAACGUGCAGAUGUGUGGUAGCUUCUGCUGUGGUCUGAGCCACUGGGCUGAAAGAUGCCUCUGCAGCCGCCAAAGCCCCAAAUAGAAUGAGGCCAUUGGUUCCGUGUGACGAAUGAGAGCACAGGUUUUGGAGUCAGAGAAGCGGGGGUUUACUGGCCAUGUGAUCUAGUAACAUCUUCCUUAACUUCUCCGAAACUUAGUUUCCUUACCUGCGAAAUGGAGUUGAGGUGGCGGGCGCCCAGCCUCCAUUCUAAUCUGGUCCUAUGGUGCCUUCAUGUUUGGCAGAGGCUGGGAGCCUAAACACCACAAUUCCCAGACACCUUUGCAGCUGGGGCUGCCCAUGAGAAUUCGGCUCUCAUCUAAUUAGAUUCUCAUCUAGAUUCACGCACGCUAGAGGCACUUGUGUGAGAUUAGGAAGGCAGUAGCGAGGAAGAGACUGCUACUCUGGCUGUUGCUGCUGGAGACACUGAGUGUGUGUGUGUGUGUGUGAGAGAGAGAGAGACAGUCAGACAGACAGACAGAGACAGAGAGAGAACAUUCUAGUGUUUGAUGGGGGGUUUGAGACGUGUUGUAGUGGCAGUGGCUCCCUGGAUGGCAACUGCACUGCUAUCUUUUUGAAAUCAGCAUCUCUGUGGCUGGCCCUCCCUCCCUCUGAUGACGGCGGAGGUGGCAGCAAUCUUGGCAGCCCAGUUCAGUGGUGUUACGGGAGUCUAGAGCCUGCUCCUCUGGCCCUGCCGAUGAUGUAAGCACCUAACUUCUUAUAUUAAAUCUCGUCUGGCUUAAAAUAGCUGGAGAGGUUUUCCGUUUCCUGCUGCUGAACCCUAACUGCUAUAGGAAUCACACUCCCCUGCUCACACAGUUGCUGGAAUGAGGCGAGAUGGCGGGUACUGUAAAGCCCUUUACACCUGUUAGAUGUUUUUCAAGGAAGGGUGUCCCUUUCGUCUGGGGAGACUAAAGCCGAGAGAAACCCUUGUGAUGAGUCACUCCAAAGCCUAUAGGCCCCCAGUCGGUUCUUUUGCCUUGAACUGUUGGGCAGAAGACAGCUUGAAAGAAUUCAGGUAAUUUGAGUGGGUCACCUGCUCGGAGAGGCCAAAAAGGUUCUCCUGUGGAUUCAGGAGGAAUCUUGCCUCUUUGCCCACCGUUAGAGCAAUGACUGGCCCCGCAGUGGUGCCAUGGUGGCUGGGAAAGGUGGCAGGCAUCCGGGUGUGAGCCUGAAAAGUCAGCUACUGUGGGACUCUGCCCUACACGUGCCUGGGUUCCCCAUUGAACCCACUGGUCUGUGUUAAAGCCCACCGCAAUUCCUUACCCCUCCCAGUUAAAUCUUUGGCUUUCCAAAACCUCCCCCCUCCUCCCAUCACGUUUGAAGGCUCUCCCUUCCUGCGGUGAAGGACAUUCUCCGGGCCAUGGCACUGGCCCCUAUUUGCUGCCACAAAAUGAGAGCUCCCUGUGGGGUGAGCGCCCAGGCGGGUGGCCCUGGGGCCAUGAAGCCUCGUAGAAGCUGGGCUGGGCUUGGCUGCCAGAACAAUCCAGGCUCCACUCCAACCCAUCAGGGGGCUUGAGGCUGAGUGGGCAAGAUAAACUGUUUCAGUGGUUUUCAGGAGCCCUAAUCAAUUUCGAGGCAGGGCGAAGCCCUCAGGGACAGAUAAAGCCAGCCCUGCGCUCCAAGCCCAGUUGGAGCCGAUGUUUGUGUGGUUUGAACUUUUGAGUGGUUUGGGCGAGUCCACCCGGCUUUGCUGGGGUGGUUUACUCUGUUCCCGAACUGCAGUACAGUGAGGCCAACGGCCCUGGACCCCUGGUGAAAUUAUUAUUAUACGUAUUUUUUAGGGCCGUACCCAUGGCACAUCGAGG